AACGCACCUUGCACCUCUUGGUAUUCCGAGAGGUACACCUGUUUGAGUGUCAUUAAUUAUCAUCCAACUCUUUUCUUAGGAAGAGAGAUAUGGGAUUUGGGGGUUUUCUUUUUUUAUUGCAGGACUUUUUAGCAGUCUGCUCCCCUUGAAAGUAUUAGUGAGAAGUCGUCCCUUUUUAUUGCGGCUUUUGGGUGAUGUGAUAGUAAACUAUGCAAAUAUACCCUUUGGCUUAGCGUUGGGUUUAUUAAAGCUUCUUGCUUCAAACUGUCCUUUGAGACAAUUAUAUAACUUGAUCUCAAAUCAGGUGGGACUACCCGCUGAACUUAA
RNAcentral lists this unclassified non-coding RNA (327 nucleotides) under uncultured fungus. RNAcentral's name for it is "partial contains 5.8S ribosomal RNA, internal transcribed spacer 2, and large subunit ribosomal RNA". Lineage: Eukaryota; Fungi. The record is from RNAcentral.